UUUUGCUCCAAUGAGUCGAUAUGCUAGUGCUGGUGGAGGACCUCUUAAUGCUUCGCGGGAAUUUAAAGAAAUGGUUAAAGCCUUGCAUGCUGCUGGGAUAGAGGUCAUUUUGGAUGUUGUGUACAACCAUACUAAUGAGGCCAAUGAUGUAAAUCCUUAUACCACUUCAUUUCGUGGCAUUGAUAAUAAGGUUUAUUACAUGUUG
This 205-nucleotide unclassified non-coding RNA is filed under the name Hevea brasiliensis (rubber tree). The record is from RNAcentral. Lineage: Eukaryota; Viridiplantae; Streptophyta; Magnoliopsida; Malpighiales; Euphorbiaceae.